This 1146-nucleotide long non-coding RNA is filed under the name Carica papaya (papaya). RNAcentral describes it as "long non-coding RNA (CPAP_LNC004980)". The record is from RNAcentral. Lineage: Eukaryota; Viridiplantae; Streptophyta; Magnoliopsida; Brassicales; Caricaceae.
CUCAGCUUUCAGACAGAUCACAUUCCUUCUUCCCUUUCCUCCCGAUUCUCUCUGUUCAUUGGAAGCGUUUCGUUUCCUUCCGAUUUCUCUCAAAUUCAAUCGACUGCUUCGACUUUGCUUCUCCGCUCGCUUCUUUGGUAAGGAUCUCCACUGCCGCUUUCUUUUUUUUUUUUUUCCAUUAAAGAUUCAUAUUGCAAAUCUUCUUCUUUAAUUUUUUCAAAGAACUCUUUAAUGUUUGUGGUUCUCUUAAUAUUCGUGAUUCUUUUACGAGAUAAAACAUAAAAUCAUGUUCUCUGAGUCAGAUCUGGAAUCCACCGUAACACUCAUUUAGGGAAAAGUCACCAAAAUCUAAGAUCCGUGUAACCCUUUUUCGGUAACAAACGACCAAUAAAAAAUAUUAAAAAAGAAACCCAGAAAAUCCUCUGUGAAAAUAAAAAAACGAAAAGAGAUCAAAACCCUAGAUCUGGAAAUAAGAAUGAUUACUUCUCCCUGGCUUUUCUGUAAUUAGGUUGUGUGGAGUUUUGCAUUUGAGAAUCUUGAAAUGAAUCUGUAAAAUGCAAUCUUUAUAAUGUUAUUAAGGUUUGAGCUCACCAUUACAACGUAAUGGCCUCAAACCCCAUGGGGGAGUCCUAAUCAUAAUGUAUCUUUGUUUUUUAACUGGGUACAAAUUGCAAUGGUGCUGGUUCUGCUAUUUGGGGUUUGAGGACUAAUGGAUUGUAUUAUUACGGGUUCUCUGCGUAUUAUUAUGUUUGUUAUUUCAAUUAUUCGGGGCUUAUAGUUGAAAUUCCAAUGUAUAUUAUUUUUAUUGGAUGAGAAGCUUAUUGGGUUCUAUUAUUAUUAUAUAUAUUAUAUAUUUUUUCAAUUAGUUGUACUCAAAUUAUGGGUUUUGGAUCUUGUGGUUGUAUUUCAUAUUACAAUAUGUAUGUAAUAUUUGUAGGUGUCAAGUCUGUUUAUUUAUCUUAUAAUAUUGUUAUUAAGUUUUGUAAUAUUUUUUACAGGUUGUAUAUAAUAUUUAUAAGUUUUGAGCCUAUUGGAUUGUAUUUUUAUUAUUUUCGUCAUGAUAUUACCCACAUUAUUGUAUUUGAAUAAUGGAUUUCGGAUCAUUUGGUUGUAUUCCGUAUUACAAUAUAAAUGUAAUAUUCAUAG